Molecule: ribosomal RNA, 568 nt
Filed under: Meyerozyma guilliermondii
Lineage: Eukaryota; Fungi; Ascomycota; Pichiomycetes; Serinales; Debaryomycetaceae
Description: partial large subunit ribosomal RNA
Source: RNAcentral
AUCCUUGAUAGUGAGCGGCCUCGSUCWAAGUUGGAAUCWGGMACCUUCGGWGUMCGAGUUGUAAUUUGAAGAUUGUAACCUUGGGGUUGGCUCUUGUCUAUGUUUCUUGGAACAGGACGUCACAGAGGGUGAGAAUCCCGUGCGAUGAGAKGCCCAAUCCUAUGUAAGGUGCUUUCGAAGAGUCGAGUUGUUUGGGAAUGCAGCUCUAAGUGGGUGGUAAAUUCCAUCUAAAGCUAAAUAUUGGCGAGAGACCGAUAGCGAACAAGUACAGUGAUGGAAAGAUGAAAAGAACUUUGAAAAGAGAGUGAAAAAGUACGUGAAAUUGUUGAAAGGGAAGGGUUUGAGAUCAGACUCGAUAUUUUGUGAGCCUUGCCUUCGUGGCGGGGUGACCCGCAGCUUAUCGGGCCAGCAUCGGUUUGGGCGGUAGGAUAAUGGCGUAGGAAUGUGACUUUGCUUCGGUGAAGUGUUAUAGCCUGCGUUGAUGCUGCCUGCCUAGACCGAGGACUGCGAUUUUAUCAAGGAUGCUGGCAUAAUGAUCCCAAACCGCCCGUCUUGAAACACGGACCAA